GAGCUUGCUCGUUAUGAAGUUAGCGGCGGACGGGUGAGUUACAGGUGGGUAACCUGCCCAUAAGACUGGGAUAACUCCGGGAAACCGGGGCUAAUACCGGAUAACAUUUUGAACCGCAUGGUUCGAAAUUGAAAGGCGGCUUCGGCUGUCACUUAUGGAUGGACCCGCGUCGCAUUAGCUAGUUGGUGAGGUAACGGCUCACCGAGGCAACGAUGCGUAGCCGACCUGAGAGGGUGAUCGGCCACACUGGGACUGAGACACGGCCCAGACUCCUACGGGAGGCAGCAGUAGGGAAUCUUCCGCAAUGGACGAAAGUCUGACGGAGCAACGCCCCGUGAGUGAUGAAGGCUUUCGGGUCGUAAAACUCUGUUGUUAGGGAAGAACAAGUGCUAGUUGAAUAACCUGGCCCCUUGACGG
RNAcentral lists this ribosomal RNA (417 nucleotides) under Bacillus cereus. RNAcentral describes it as "bacterial SSU rRNA". It matches the Rfam family "Bacterial small subunit ribosomal RNA", at positions 76 to 475 of the family's 1533-position model. Lineage: Bacteria; Bacillati; Bacillota; Bacilli; Caryophanales; Bacillaceae. The record is from RNAcentral.